GUGUGUGUGUGUGUGUGUGUGUGUGUGUGUGUGUGUGUGUAUAUAUAUAUAUAUAUAUAUAUACACACACACACACAUACACACACACACACACAC
Molecule: non-coding RNA, 96 nt
Organism: Pelobates cultripes (western spadefoot toad)
Lineage: Eukaryota; Metazoa; Chordata; Amphibia; Anura; Pelobatidae
Source: the annotation of a GenBank genome assembly